GUCCACGCCCUAACGAUGUCAACUGGUUGUUGGACGGCUUGCUGUUCAGUAACGAAGCUAACGCGUGAAGUUGACCGCCUGGGAGUACGGCCGCAAGGUUGAACUCAAAGGAAUUGACGGGACCCGCACAAGCGGUGGAUGAUGUGGUUUAAUUCGAUGCAACGCGAAACCUUACCUACCCUUGACAUGUCAAGAAUUUUGCAGAGAUGUGAAAGUGCUCGAAAGAGAGCUUGAACACAGGUGCUGCAUGGCCGUCGU
This 258-nucleotide ribosomal RNA is filed under the name uncultured bacterium. RNAcentral's name for it is "partial 16S ribosomal RNA". It matches the Rfam family "Bacterial small subunit ribosomal RNA", at positions 793 to 1055 of the family's 1533-position model. The record is from RNAcentral.